RNAcentral lists this ribosomal RNA (465 nucleotides) under uncultured bacterium. RNAcentral's name for it is "partial 16S ribosomal RNA". It matches the Rfam family "Bacterial small subunit ribosomal RNA", at positions 29 to 507 of the family's 1533-position model. The record is from RNAcentral.
ACGAACGCUGGCGGCGUGCUUAACACAUGCAAGUCGAACGGAAAGGCCUCUUUCGGGGGGUACUCGAGUGGCGAACGGGUGAGUAACACGUGAGUAACCUGCCCUUGACUUUGGGAUAACUUCAGGAAACUGGGGCUAAUACCGGAUAGGAGCUCCUGCUGCAUGGUGGGGGUUGGAAAGUUUCGGCGGUUGGGGAUGGACUCGCGGCUUAUCAGCUUGUUGGUGGGGUAGUGGCUUACCAAGGCUUUGACGGGUAGCCGGCCUGAGAGGGUGACCGGCCACAUUGGGACUGAGAUACGGCCCAGACUCCUACGGGAGGCAGCAGUGGGGAAUAUUGCACAAUGGGCGGAAGCCUGAUGCAGCAACGCCGCGUGCGGGAUGACGGCCUUCGGGUUGUAAACCGCUUUCGCCUGUGACGAAGCGUGAGUGACGGUAAUGGGUAAAGAAGCACCGGCUAACUACGUG